AACGAACGCUGGCGGCGCGCCUAAUACAUGCAAGUCGAGCGAGAAGACGUAGCAAUACGUUUGUAAAGCGGCGAACGGGUGAGGAAUACAUGGGUAACCUACCCUCGAGUGGGGAAUAACUAGCCGAAAAGUUAGCUAAUACCGCGUACGCUCCUUGGACUUCGGUUCAGGGAGGAAAGCGAUACCGUGGGUAUCGCGCUCUUGGAUGGGCUCAUGUCCUAUCAGCUUGUUGGUGAGGUAACGGCUCACCAAGGCUUCGACGGGUAGCUGGUCUGAGAGGACAAUCAGCCACACUGGCACUGCGACACGGGCCAGACUCCUACGGGAGGCAGCAGUAAGGAAUAUUGCGCAAUGGGCGAAAGCCUGACGCAGCGACGCCGCGUGGGGGA
RNAcentral lists this ribosomal RNA (389 nucleotides) under uncultured bacterium. RNAcentral's name for it is "bacterial SSU rRNA". It matches the Rfam family "Bacterial small subunit ribosomal RNA", at positions 29 to 408 of the family's 1533-position model. The record is from RNAcentral.